CAGAUAAGAGCCGCCCGGACUAGCCAAGGAGACUGCCUGUGAGACCACAGGAAGAGCAAGCAUGCACGCACAGGGCUAAGCUCGAGCUCACUCCAAGAGGCCACAGGCAAGUCAUCCUUGGCUAUCUGGACAGACUCUUAUCG
Dichanthelium oligosanthes is the source of this 143-nucleotide microRNA precursor. Lineage: Eukaryota; Viridiplantae; Streptophyta; Magnoliopsida; Poales; Poaceae. The record is from Rfam.